Molecule: long non-coding RNA, 2140 nt
Filed under: Phoenix dactylifera (date palm)
Lineage: Eukaryota; Viridiplantae; Streptophyta; Magnoliopsida; Arecales; Arecaceae
Description: long non-coding RNA (PDAC_LNC005574)
Source: RNAcentral
AGAAAUGGAAUACAUGUUAUUCAGGGCAGAUAAGAACCAUGGACAAUUUUGGCCGAAGCUAUUAAAAGUUUACCAUAAAAUACAUUGGUAAACAGAUGAUGACUUUGUUACAAAUGGUGCAUCAUCAGGAUGCAGGUUAGAGGGAAUAAAAGAAUUCAAUAGGUCUAAUGGAAUAAAUGAAAGAACCCUUCAUCAGAUUUGCAGGUUUCUUUGAUAAGCCCUUCCCCUUCGACUACUCAGCUGCAUCCUGUGACCUGUUCCACUGCCAAACAGACUGUUUAUACAUUAGUAGAAACUAUAGUAGUAUUGCAAACAAGGCAUCUUUUGCUCUUGGGAUUCACUCUUAAUGUCAUUACAUGCAAAGAAAUAGCCAUUCACUUGCUUACAACAUUGUAAUUAAAACAUCCUAUAUGCUCCACGAUAGUAACCAUACGAUGCAUUAUGAAACACUCCAUUGAAUGCCUUCUGUUACCAGAAAAAUCUGACUGCCUAAAUGCCCCUAGCGAGCGAUUAUUGCACACGACCUCGCAUCAGAUUUAAAGACCUUGUUUGCAACAUGUCCUUGCUGCAUGUCAUAGAAUUGCUGCCUUGGAAGAAUGAUCUUAACACAUGUUUGAGUUACUAGAGAAAUAAUUUGUGCUUUGUAGUUACAAAUAUGUUGGAAGUCCUUGCAUAUCGAGAUUUCUCCUCACUAUUGCCACAUGAUUCGCCCAGCUAAAGAUGCUACUCAUUAUUUGAGGGGUCAGUGUUAACUAUUUCAGAAGGGCUAGCAGCUGAGUGGAUACAAGGUGAUUGUGAUUGGACCCCUACUUCACUUUCUUUCAUAUUUAUGAUCCUUUGAAAGCUAAAAAAAUCGCAGAACAUUUGGCAAAUACUUGUGUCUCUAUCUACAUUUUUGCAGUGACUAUAGGACAGUACCAAACAUAAAAGAUCCAUACAUUAGAAUUGAUCGAGGCUUUGCAGUACCAAACAUGCAAGAGGUUUACAGAACAAACAGUGUUUGUCAAUCUGAUCAAAGUAAACCAUACAGGUUUUUCAGAACUUCAUAGAUAACCACUCACACUGUCAGAAAGAAUGGAUAAUUAAACAUAAAGAAUGGAUAAAGAUGCUGCAAGUGAUUAUGUACACAUACUUGCUUUGACUCAGGGUAGGUUACCAAAUAAUAUCCUCAUAUGAAAAUAUCAUCUUUUAGUAAUCACUGUUAGGUGGAUUACUACGCUUAUUUACUAGAGAUUUAGCCUACAAGUUAUUUCACAAGUUGGAAGUGCCUGUGAAAAACAAUAUUAAUUGCUUCAUCAUGUAAAAAAUUCUGUAUUUAGUUGAAGAAGAGGGGAUGCUAGUUUGGAAUUCAGACUGGACAUCAAUAAAGCAUUCAUGUGUGUUGGUUCGCACAGUUCUUAUGGAAGUUUUCCUAGUGUUGAAAGUGUCAUCAUUAAGAACAUAUAUCUAAUGCAUAUCUCUGUUCUUUCGCAUUAAAACUGAUGAGCGUGAGUUGUAAAUCAAACCGUAUCUGCUUCUUCUGAAGUUCCCUCGAGAGAAGUAAAUCUUUGUGUUUUAAUUAUUUUGGCACAUCGAUCAACAGACUUUUUUUUGAAAAAAAAGGACGACAUAAACUGUUGUCUUUUAUCCUUCACUUUGAUGGAAUAGAAGAAAACCUCUUUGGCAGUCCUUUAGAUUUGGACAGCACGUUACAUCAGGAGAAAUUUCAGAGAGAGAAGAAUGAGAACGUUGUAUUUGUUCUUGUAAGAUUCAGACAACAAUCAUAUAUAUUGAAGCCUCAUAUUAAAGAAAAUUUUCAUAAAGUAUUCCUAUCAAUAUGUUUUAGUGAGAUCACUUCAAUGUCGAGAAAAAGAUGUAUUUUAGCCGGCAGUGUGAUCAACAUGCAUGCUUAUCCAUGUGAAAUGUUUAUAACCACCAAGUUUUACAAAUUGGUUGAUGAACUGAGUGACGGAACAGCAACUAACUGAGGUGCAGAUUGAAAAAAAAAGAGAUGUAUCUAGUUUCCAGUACCUGUGGUGGGAGGAGUCAUUGGAGUGGGCUUGGAGAUGAUGGUAGGAAUGGUUGUCAUGGUGCCUGCGACUGUGGCAGCCGUUGGAGGGAAGAAGCCGGCGGCGACUCCCAACCCCUGGGACUGAUGCNN